GUUAAAGCGAUGAUAGGAAUAGUAGGUACAGUACUUCUUCUGCAGAGAGCCGGCUGAGGUGAAAUCCGGCGGAGAAUCUGUUACUGAAUGCCCUCCUUGAGCCGUGUGCUGAAUUAAGAGUAAGCAUUGCCGUAUCCUGGCGUUAACAGGAUCAAGUGAGCCGUAUGGCUAAUUUAGGUGGUACCACGGGAAUCUAAUCUCGUCCUUUCA
Molecule: non-coding RNA, 210 nt
Filed under: Propionispora sp.
Lineage: Bacteria; Bacillati; Bacillota; Negativicutes; Selenomonadales; Sporomusaceae
Description: T-box sequence
Rfam family: T-box leader
About the family: Uncharged tRNA acts as the effector for transcription antitermination of genes in the T-box leader family. T-boxes are found upstream of many aminoacyl-tRNA synthetase genes and some amino acid biosynthetic genes usually in Gram-positive bacteria.
Source: RNAcentral